CUACGGGCGGCACCAGUGGGGAAUUUUGGACAAUGGGCGCAAGCCUGAUCCAGCCAUGCCGCGUGAGUGAAGAAGGCCUUCGGGUUGUAAAGCUCUUUCAGGUGGGAAGAAACGGUUAAUGUUAAUAGCAUUGACUACUGACGGUACCACCAGAAGAAGCACCGGCUAACUACGUGCCAGCAGCCGCGGUAAUACGUAGGGUGCGAGCGUUAAUCGGAAUUACUGGGCGUAAAGGGUGCGCAGGCGGUUUUGUAAGCCAGAUGUGAAAUCCCCGGGCUCAACCUGGGAACUGCAUUUGGGACUGCAAGGCUAGAGUACGGCAGAGGGGGGUAGAAUUCCACGUGUAGCAGUGAAAUGCGUAGAUAUGUGGAGGAAUACCGAUGGCGAAGGCAGCCCCCUGGGUCGAUACUGACGCUCAGGCACGAAAGCGUGGGGAGCAAACAGGAUUAGAUACCCGGGUAGUC
RNAcentral lists this ribosomal RNA (464 nucleotides) under uncultured bacterium. Its description in RNAcentral is "partial 16S ribosomal RNA". It matches the Rfam family "Bacterial small subunit ribosomal RNA", at positions 339 to 795 of the family's 1533-position model. The record is from RNAcentral.